RNAcentral lists this ribosomal RNA (468 nucleotides) under uncultured bacterium. Its description in RNAcentral is "partial 16S ribosomal RNA". It matches the Rfam family "Bacterial small subunit ribosomal RNA", at positions 28 to 507 of the family's 1533-position model. The record is from RNAcentral.
GACGAACGCUGGCGGCGUGCUUAACACAUGCAAGUCGAACGGAAAGGCCCUGCUUUUGUGGGGUGCUCGAGUGGCGAACGGGUGAGUAACACGUGAGUAACCUGCCCUUGACUUUGGGAUAACUUCAGGAAACUGGGGCUAAUACCGGAUAGGAGCUCCUGCUGCAUGGUGGGGGUUGGAAAGUUUCGGCGGUUGGGGAUGGACUCGCGGCUUAUCAGCUUGUUGGUGGGGUAGUGGCUUACCAAGGCUUUGACGGGUAGCCGGCCUGAGAGGGUGACCGGCCACAUUGGGACUGAGAUACGGCCCAGACUCCUACGGGAGGCAGCAGUGGGGAAUAUUGCACAAUGGGCGGAAGCCUGAUGCAGCAACGCCGCGUGGGGGAUGACGGCCUUCGGGUUGUAAACUCCUUUCACCAUCGACGAAGGGUUUCUGACGGUAGAUGGAGAAGAAGCACCGGCUAACUACGUG